ACAGCUCAAAUUUGAAAUCUGGCCCCUUCGGGGUCCGAGUUGUAAUUUGUAGAGAGUGCUUCGGGUGAGACCACGGUCUAAGUCUAUUGGAACAUUACGUCAUAGAGGGUGAGAACCCCGUAUGUGACCGUGGCUCGAGCCCAUGUGAAGCCUCUUCGACGAGUCGAGUUGUUUGGGAAUGCAGCUCAAAAUGGGUGGUAAAUUUCAUCUAAAGCUAAAUACUGGCUGGAGACCGAUAGCGCACAAGUAGAGUGAUCGAAAGAUGAAAAGCACUUUGGAAAGAGAGUCAAACAGUACGUGAAAUUGUUGAAAGGGAAGCGCUGGCAACCAGACCUGUCCGUAGACGAUCAGCCGCUGUUCUCAGUGGUGCACUCGUUCUGCGAUCAGGCCAGCAUCGGUUUCGGCGGUCGGAUAAAGGCCUGGGGAACGUAGCUCCCUUUCGGGGGAGUGUUAUAGCCCCGGGCGCAAUGCGGCCAGCCGGGACCGAGGACCGCGCUUCGGCUAGGAUGCUGGCGUAAUGGUUGUCAGCG
This 530-nucleotide ribosomal RNA is filed under the name Hypotrachyna sorocheila. RNAcentral describes it as "LSU rRNA". It matches the Rfam family "Eukaryotic large subunit ribosomal RNA", at positions 104 to 646 of the family's 3401-position model. Lineage: Eukaryota; Fungi; Ascomycota; Lecanoromycetes; Lecanorales; Parmeliaceae. The record is from RNAcentral.